Long non-coding RNA from Malaya genurostris, 887 nucleotides. RefSeq lists it as uncharacterized. NCBI's taxonomy places the organism in Eukaryota, Metazoa, Arthropoda, Insecta, Diptera, Culicidae. The record is from RefSeq and is a predicted model, not a curated record. The transcript has 4 exons.
GACAAAUUCAAAAGAACUCUAAAUUAAGUAAAAAGAAGUCAAAUAAUAGGUACCUGGGUAGCCACGGGCACCAAAAGGCUACCAAAACCGAUUCAGUGACGGCUGCCAAUGCCAAAAUGACAAAAAAAUCGUCCGUCGUCUAGUAACCCGCGAAUUUUCACUUUUGUUUUUUCGUUGCAUAUGAUGGAGAAGUCAUUUUAAUACGUUCUCGUGCGAGUAAAGUUUUCUAGGAUUCAUUGUUUCUUUAAUGAUAUUGUAGCCCAGCUGUCGCAACCAGUUUUCCUUGAAUUACUUCUGGAAUAUUAUAGGGAGGAUAGCGAUGUGACUAACGAAAAUUUGUUAUAUUAUGCAGGCCCAGUUACAAAAUAAUAAUACAAUAACUAUCACGAGGAGUCCGGCCUAAACGGAGACAGUUCGAAGAAGAUCAAUUUGAUGCACUGAAAGAGCAAUCUGGAUUGGUUUCAAAGUUUUUGGUUAUGAUGCCAAUCUCAUUCCCGACUUCCGGAAAGGAAUAGUUAUUGGUGUCAUCGGAUCGGUGGGUGCUGGUAAAUCAUCUUUGCUGCAAUAAAUUCUAGCAAUUCGAUGGAAACGAGUUGGUGGUGAAUGCAUAAGCUCUAGUACGAGAUAUUGAAACUAAUCAUCUUAACGCAGAACCGAUAUGUUUCUGAAGCCAAGGAUGCUCAAAGCGGUCAUCACUUGUUCGAUAUAUGUAUCGAGCCCAGGAGCCGGUUAGAAUAAUAUGACGGUGCUGGAGUAAUUUAUCGUUGGACCGGUGCCACUAGACUCGUAAAUGAUUCGAAACUUUCAACAUCGAAACUCUCAAUUGUCGUGAAUUCGUUCACAUUUGAAUUCAUGUUACCACUAAUUUGAUACUUAUUCAAAAUUAU